Molecule: transfer RNA, 69 nt
Filed under: Protohermes grandis
Lineage: Eukaryota; Metazoa; Arthropoda; Insecta; Megaloptera; Corydalidae
Description: tRNA-Met
Rfam family: tRNA
About the family: Transfer RNA (tRNA) molecules are approximately 80 nucleotides in length. Their secondary structure includes four short double-helical elements and three loops (D, anti-codon, and T loops). Further hydrogen bonds mediate the characteristic L-shaped molecular structure. tRNAs have two regions of fundamental functional importance: the anti-codon, which is responsible for specific mRNA codon recognition, and the 3' end, to which the tRNAs corresponding amino acid is attached (by aminoacyl-tRNA synthetases). tRNAs cope with the degeneracy of the genetic code in two manners: having more than one tRNA (with a specific anti-codon) for a particular amino acid; and 'wobble' base-pairing, i.e. permitting non-standard base-pairing at the 3rd anti-codon position.
Source: RNAcentral
AAAAAGAUAAGCUAAUAAAGCUAAUGGGUUCAUACCCCGUAUAUAAAGGUUUAAAUCCUUUUCUUUUUA